RNAcentral lists this long non-coding RNA (258 nucleotides) under Elaeis guineensis (African oil palm). RNAcentral describes it as "long non-coding RNA (EGUI_LNC017409)". The record is from RNAcentral. Lineage: Eukaryota; Viridiplantae; Streptophyta; Magnoliopsida; Arecales; Arecaceae.
CAGUAGGCUUACAUUUACUAUUAAAAAAAGAAGAAGCAUGUGCUCUGAAUUCACUUGCUUUCUCUCAGAGACCUUCAUUUAAGAGGAUGUGAGACAAGAUCUAGACAUUCAUUAUAGGAUUAGACUGCCUUGAAUAGAGUAAUCCCUGAAUUAUUCCUUCUGACUGAUGGUCAAGAGGAAUGAUGUUUUGCAGCUAGUGGAUAAUGCACUAUUUGAGAGGGAAUCAGGGCUGCUAGAUGGUUCUAUUCCAAUCGAUGG